Molecule: ribosomal RNA, 253 nt
Filed under: uncultured bacterium
Lineage: Bacteria
Description: partial 16S ribosomal RNA
Rfam family: Bacterial small subunit ribosomal RNA
Source: RNAcentral
UACGUAGGGGGCUAGCGUUGUCCGGAAUCAUUGGGCGUAAAGAGCGUGUAGGCGGUCCGGUAAGUCCGCUGUGAAAGUCGGGGGCUCAACCCUCGAAUGCCGGUGGAUACUGUCGGGCUAGAGUGCGGAAGAGGCGAGUGGAAUUCCCGGUGUAGCGGUGAAAUGCGCAGAUAUCGGGAGGAACACCCGUAGCGAAGGCGGCACUCUGGGCCGAUACUGACACUGAGGAGCGAAAGCGUGGGGAGCGAACAGG